AUGCUCGUGAUUGCCUACAUGAAUAGGCAGUGCCGCUGCUGACGUAAAACUGGGCGUUGAGGUCGCCUGCGUCAGGGCGCGCCAGUCGGUGAGUCAGUCAGUGCGGCGACGACGCUGGCGCUGAGGUCAGCGAGUCGUGCUUUAUGGGGAUAUGGUUAGCGAGGGCCCUUGUACUGCCUUUUUGCGCUGGACGUGUGCGUGGUGUUCGCUGGGGAAGUAUUCCGAGUGCCAGCAGCUGCCGGACGGAGGUAUUUGUACGGGUUCAGAAAGAAUCUUGAAUCUGUGCCAAGCACAAGUUGUGGGUGCGCGUUUACUGCCUGGGUCCGACGCUUCCUCGGUAGGGACGGUUUUGCUCGUGAGCGAUCGGUAGCAGUCUGGAAGCCCGUGAACAGCAGAUUCGCGGGAACGACUCCCACCGAGGAUCGUUCGCGCUCCAGCGAAUGGGGAUUGUUAAGGAAAUCGUUGCCUCUGGCGCCCGAAUCAUCGGCUUGUGGGCCGUUCUUUUUUGGUCCAGCGCCUGAAUACCGCUGCCUCGCAGUGAAGCGUCACUGGUGUUCCCGUCCCGAGUCGCCACGAAGAUAUCGUUGUCGACAUUGCGUGUCGCAGACGGCUUGAGCUAGACUCGUACCCGUAUCCAAUGUUGUACAAGGGAAUGCAGCUAGCGCUCUUGCUUCUUUCCGCCAGAUUUGGGAUACUUGUAUGCCGUGCUUGUCGCUGUUGUGCGGCGGACCGGCCCUCGCCUCAUCGACUGCGAAUUGCUCGGAAGCUUCCGUAGCCGACAUGCGCUUUUGGCUAGCACCGCCGCACCUCCAAGCACAUGUGUCUGUGCGACCUGGGGGAUCCUGCAGAAAAAGCCGCGCAAGCGACAGACGCCACGGAGUCUCAUGGCUCAACCCGUGUCUCCGUUGAAAUCGAAUAUGCAUGGGAGGCCCGGAUGCACGACCAGUAUUCGUGAGGAACGAGCGCGCAAGCGAACGUUUUUAUGUUUUCAAAUGCUUGCCGCCACCUGGUAUAGACAUGGCAGACUUUCCGUCGGCUGCUAUCUACGGGCACGGGCUUAGCGCAUCACACGGAUGCAAGAUGCAUUGCUCGCGGCUUGUCCAACCGAGACAACGCUUGCGGUUUCCGUUGUACGUGACGUGUCUCUGAACGCUCCCUCCAGUAGUGAUUGGUAAACGCUCGCGUCCUCCUAGC
This is an RNA transcript of Cyanidioschyzon merolae strain 10D, 1194 nucleotides long. RefSeq lists it as hypothetical. Lineage: Eukaryota; Rhodophyta; Bangiophyceae; Cyanidiales; Cyanidiaceae. The record is from RefSeq and is a predicted model, not a curated record. The transcript has a single exon.